AUGUUCCAUAGUGUUCCAGGCUGAGUUAAAAUGUUCCAUAGUGUUCCAGGCUAAGUUAUAAUGUUCCAUAGUCUUCCAGGCUAACUAAAAUUGUUCCGUUCUGUUCCAGGCUGAGUUAAAAUGUUCCAUAGUGCUCCAGGCUAAGUUGUAAUGUUCCAUAGUGUUCCAGGCUAAGUUAUAAUGUUCCUUUCUGUGACAGGCUAACUUAAAUUGUUCCGUUCUGUUCCGGGCUAAGUUAAAGUUAUAAUGUUCCAUAGUGUUCCAGGCUAAGUUAAAAUGUUCCAUAGUGUUCCAGGCUAAGUCAUAAUGUUCCGUUCUGUUCCAGGCUAACUUAAAUUGUUCCGUUCUGUUCUGGGCUAAGUUAAAAUGUUCCAUAGUGUUCCAGGCUAAGUUAUAAUGUUCCAUUGUGUUCCAGGCUAAGUUGUAAUGUUCCAUAGUGUUCCAGGCUAAGUUAUAAUGUGUCGUUCUUUUCCAGGCUAACUUAAAUUGUUCCGUUCUGUUCCGGGCUAAGUUAAAAUGUUCCAUAGUGUUCCAGGCUAAGUUAAAUUGUUCCGUUCUGUUCCAGGCUAACGUGUAGUAUUGCGUUGUGUUCCAGGCUAACUUGUAAUAUUCCGUUGUGUUCCAGGCCGACUUCAAAUGUUCUGUAGUGUUCCAGGCUAAGUUAAAUUGCUCCGUUCUGUUCCAGGCUAACGUGUAAUAUUCUGUUGUGUUCCAGGCUAACUUGUAAUGUAAUGUUCUUCAAAUGUUCUGUAGUGUUCCAGGUUAAGUUAAAAUGUUCCAUAGUGUUCCAGGUAAAGUUAUAAUGUCCCGUUGUGUUCCAGGCUAAGUUGUGAAGUUCUGUUGCGUUCCAGGCUAAGUUGUAAUGUUCCGUUCUGUUCCAGGCUAAGUUGUAAUGUUCCGUUCUGUUACAGGCUAAGUUGUAAUGUCCCGUUCUGUUCCAGGCUAAGUUAAAAUGUUCCAUAGUGUUCCAGGCUAAAUUAAAAUAUUCCAUAGUGUUCCAGGCUAAGUUGUAAUGUUCCGUUCUGUUUUGAGGUUAAGUUAAAUUGUUCCGUUCUGUUUUGAGGCUAAGUUAAAAUGUUCCGUUCUGUUCCAGGCUAAGUCAAAAUGUUAGUUCUGUUCCAGGGUAAGUUAAAUUGUUCCGUUCUGUUUUGAGGCUAAGUUAAAAUGUUCCGUUCUUUUCCAGGCUAAGUUAAAAUGUUAGUUCUGUUCCAGGCUAAGUUAAAAUGUUCCAUAGUGUUCCAGGCUAAGUUGUAAUGUUCUGUUGUGUUCCAGGCUAAGUUAAAUUGUUCCGUUCUGUUCCAGACUAAGUUGUAAUGUUCUGUUGUGUUCCAGGCUAAGUUAAAUUGUCGUGUUGUGUUCCAGGCUAAGUUAAAAUGUUCCAUAGUGUUCCAGGCUAAAUUAAAAUGUUCCAUAGUGUUCCAGGCUAAAUUAAAAUAAUCCAUAGUGUUCCAGGCUAAGUUGUAAUGUUCCGUUGUGUUUCAGGCUAAGUUGUAAUGUUCUGUUGUGUUUCAGGCUAAGUUGUAAUGUUCCGUUCUGUUCCAGGCUAAGUUAAAAUGUUCCAUAGUGUUCCAGGCUAAAUUAAAAUAUUCCAUAGUGUUCCAGGCUAAGUUCUAAUGUUCCGUUGUGUUCCAGGUCAACUUCAAAUGUUCCAUAGUGCUCCAGGCUAAGGUGUUAUGUUCCGUUCUGUUUUGAGGCUAAGUCGUAAUGUUCCGUUCUGUUCCAGGCUAAGUUAAAUUGUUCCGUUCUGUUUUGAGGCUAAGUUGUAAUGUUCCGUUCUGUUCCAGGUUAAGUCGUAAUGUUCAGUUUUGUUCCAGGCUAAGUUAAAUUGUUCCGUUCUGUUCCAGGCUAAGUUGCAAUGUUCCAUUGUUUUCCAGGCUAAGUUGUAAUAUUCCGUUGUGUUCCAGGCUAAGUUGUAAUAUUCCGUUGUGUUCCAGGCUAAGUUAAAUUGUUCCGUUCUGUUC
Molecule: long non-coding RNA, 1961 nt
Organism: Epinephelus moara (kelp grouper)
Lineage: Eukaryota; Metazoa; Chordata; Actinopteri; Perciformes; Serranidae
Exons: 3
Source: RefSeq, a predicted model, not a curated record